GGGGUUUAAUGCUGGUCGCUGCUAACGAUUGCUGGAGUUUUUAUUUAUUCUCGAUCCCUU
Molecule: transfer RNA, 60 nt
Filed under: Alaria americana
Lineage: Eukaryota; Metazoa; Platyhelminthes; Trematoda; Diplostomida; Diplostomidae
Description: tRNA-Ser
Source: RNAcentral